CAGGAAAAAAGUUCUGGGUUGGAAACUACCAGUCUGAUGGGGUCUGUGUGAAGUUUGCAUGUUCUCCUGCACCUGAGUGGGCUCUCUGUGGGCACUCUAACUUCCUCCCACAGGCAUGACAUGCUUGUUAGUUACCAGGCCUGGGUCUGGGGGGACUUGGUCAUGGAGGAGGGGGUUUCCCCUCACUACCACUGGAUGCUGCUGCCCCUCCCUGGGAUGCGGGUACUUGCUGAUUUCAGGGAAUCCUGCAGGAAAGCCUGAAGAAUACCUUUCUCCAAGUGUGCCUGACCCACUCUCACCCCACAUGUCAUCACUACUCACCUGCCCUAAAGCUUUCAGCAUUGGAGCUCUGCCCUGAUAGAUUACUUACCUAAGGAAGCUCAUUUGAACUUUGCUCCCACAUUAAUCAUUCUUGAGAAAAAGAAAAAUAGCUCUGUUUCCUGUUUAGUAACCUACCUAAAGACACUUACCUGAAGACUGCUGCUGCCUGUGAACUUUAGGGAUUUGCCUAAAAACACUAAUCAAAGUUGUUAACUGGUUAACUUGUG
Long non-coding RNA from Oreochromis aureus, 548 nucleotides. The record is from Ensembl. NCBI's taxonomy places the organism in Eukaryota, Metazoa, Chordata, Actinopteri, Cichliformes, Cichlidae.